UGAGGAACAUGACCUUCGGCGGGGGAUAGCCGGCCCAACGGCCGGGUAAUACCGCGUACGACCACAUGGGGACAUCCCUGAGUGGUGAAAGCAGCAAUGCGCCGAUGGAGUGCCUCGCGGCCUAUCAGCUAGCUGGUGAGGUAACGGCUCACCAAGGCGGCGACGGGUAGCUGGUCUGAGAGGAUGGCCAGCCACAUUGGGACUGAGACACGGCCCAGAUCCGUAACGGG
This 230-nucleotide ribosomal RNA is filed under the name uncultured bacterium. RNAcentral's name for it is "partial 16S ribosomal RNA". It matches the Rfam family "Bacterial small subunit ribosomal RNA", at positions 118 to 347 of the family's 1533-position model. The record is from RNAcentral.